RNAcentral lists this long non-coding RNA (437 nucleotides) under Phasianus colchicus (ring-necked pheasant). RNAcentral's name for it is "lncRNA (ENSPCLG00000005647.1)". Lineage: Eukaryota; Metazoa; Chordata; Aves; Galliformes; Phasianidae. The record is from RNAcentral.
GUUAUUUUUUUUCUCAUUUAGAGUGAAUUUGUUUUUCCAAAAUCACUUGAAGAAGAAUUCUAAAUUGUAGUUGGAAGGCAAAUAUCCAGGUUUCAUCCAGAGUAUCCUGCAAGCAGAAAUGAAGCAACAACCUCAAGAAUGAGCUCAAACAUAUUCCUCUACCAAGGAAUCAGGAGGAUUUGCUAUCAGGAUUGGCAUAGCAGAUUUGUGAUGUUCUGAGUUUGGAAAGGUCACCAAAGAUUGUUAAGAACAGCUGAAGAACAUUGCUGACAUCCAAACACUUGUGCUCUGAUGCCAGAGAAUGGAAGGAAGAUAAAGGGAGAAAUAAAAUGAAGGCAUGAAGAUGCAUGGUGAUAAGUGAUUUUGAAGUGAUGGAUGAGAGUUCACAUCAGGGUACUUUGGGAAGGAGACUAAGCAGCACUUUAGAAGAUGAUUCU